AUUGAACGCUGGCGGCAUGCCUUACACAUGCAAGUCGAACGGCAGCACGGGAGCAAUCCUGGUGGCGAGUGGCGAACGGGUGAGUAAUAUAUCGGAACGUGCCCAGUCGUGGGGAUAACGUAGCGAAAGCUACGCUAAUACCGCAUACGAUCUAUGGAUGAAAGCGGGGGAUCGCAAGACCUCGCGCGAUUGGAGCGGCCGAUAUCAGAUUAGGUAGUUGGUGAGGUAAAGGCUCACCAAGCCGACGAUCUGUAGCUGGUCUGAGAGGACGACCAGCCACACUGGGACUGAGACACGGCCCAGACUCCUACGGAGGCAGCAGUGGGGAAUUUUGGGACAAUGGGCGCAAGCCUGAUCCAGCAAUGCCGCGUGCAGGAUGAAGGCCUUCGGUGGUAACUAGCUUUGUACGG
Molecule: ribosomal RNA, 410 nt
Filed under: uncultured bacterium
Lineage: Bacteria
Description: bacterial SSU rRNA
Rfam family: Bacterial small subunit ribosomal RNA
Source: RNAcentral